GGGCAGUUAGUUCAGCUGGUUAGAACGCCUCGCUUACACCGAGGAGGUCGCUGGUUCGAGUCCAGCACUGCCCA
Molecule: transfer RNA, 74 nt
Filed under: Candidatus Saganbacteria bacterium
Lineage: Bacteria; Bacillati
Description: tRNA-Val
Rfam family: tRNA
About the family: Transfer RNA (tRNA) molecules are approximately 80 nucleotides in length. Their secondary structure includes four short double-helical elements and three loops (D, anti-codon, and T loops).
Source: RNAcentral